RNAcentral lists this ribosomal RNA (373 nucleotides) under uncultured organism. RNAcentral describes it as "partial 16S ribosomal RNA". It matches the Rfam family "Bacterial small subunit ribosomal RNA", at positions 527 to 896 of the family's 1533-position model. The record is from RNAcentral.
GGAGGGUGCGAGCGUUGUUCGGAAUCAUUGGGCGUAAAGCGCGUGUAGGCGGCUUGGUAAGUCGGGUGUGAAAGCCCGGGGCCCAACCCCGGAACUGCACUCGAUACUGCCUCGCUAGAGUCCCGGAGAGGAGAGCGGAGUUCCCGGUGUAGAGGUGAAAUUCGUAGAUAUCGGGAGGAACACCAGUGGCGAAGGCGGCUCUCUGGACGGUGACUGACGCUGAGACGCGAAAGCGUGGGGAGCAAACAGGAUUAGAUACCCUGGUAGUCCACGCCGUAAACGUUGGGUGCUAGGUGUCGCGGGUAUUGACCCCCCUGCGGUGCCGCCGCUAACGCAUUAAGCACCCCGCCUGGGGAGUACGGUCGCAAGGCUA